GACGUAGGUGGCGAGAGUUAUCCGGAAUUACUGGGCGUAAAGCGUGUGCAGGCGGGCUAGCAAGUGGUGUAUGAAAGCUCCCGGCUCAACCGGGAAGGGUUAUGCCAGACUGCUAGUCUUGAGUGCGAGAGAGGAGCGUGGAAUUCCGGGUGUAGUGGUGAAAUGCGUAGAGAUCCGGAGGAACCCCAGAGGCGAAGGCGGCGCUCUGGCUCGCAACUGACGCUCAGACACGACAGCAUGGGGAGCAAACGGG
RNAcentral lists this ribosomal RNA (253 nucleotides) under uncultured bacterium. RNAcentral's name for it is "partial 16S ribosomal RNA". It matches the Rfam family "Bacterial small subunit ribosomal RNA", at positions 524 to 776 of the family's 1533-position model. The record is from RNAcentral.